UACAGAGGUCCCGAGCGUUGUUCGGAUUUAUUGGGCGUAAAGGGUGCGUAGGCGGCGGAGUAAGUUGGGUGCGAAAUCCCGGGGCUUAACCUCGGAAUUGCAUUCAAUACCGCUUCGCUUGAGUACUGGAGAGGAGGCUGGAAUUUACGGUGUAGCAGUGAAAUGCGUAGAUAUCGUAAGGAAGGCCGGUGGCGAAAGCGAGCCUCUGGACAGUUACUGACGCUGAUGCACGAAGGCCAGGGGAGCAAACGGG
RNAcentral lists this ribosomal RNA (253 nucleotides) under uncultured bacterium. Its description in RNAcentral is "partial 16S ribosomal RNA". It matches the Rfam family "Bacterial small subunit ribosomal RNA", at positions 524 to 776 of the family's 1533-position model. The record is from RNAcentral.